Molecule: ribosomal RNA, 683 nt
Filed under: uncultured organism
Description: SSU rRNA
Rfam family: Bacterial small subunit ribosomal RNA
Source: RNAcentral
AAACAGGAUUAGAUACCCUGGUAGUCCACGCAGUAAACGAUGAUUACUAGGAGUUUGCGAUACACAGUAAGCUCUACAGCGAAAGCGUUAAGUAAUCCACCUGGGGAGUACGCCGGCAACGGUGAAACUCAAAGGAAUUGACGGGGGCCCGCACAAGCGGAGGAACAUGUGGUUUAAUUCGAUGAUACGCGAGGAACCUUACCCGGGUUUGAACGUAGUCAGACCGGCCUUGAAAGAGGUCUUCUAGCAAUAGCUGAUUACGAGGUGCUGCAUGGUUGUCGUCAGCUCGUGCCGUGAGGUGUCGGCUUAAGUGCCAUAACGAGCGCAACCCUUAUCACUAGUUACUAACAGGUCAAGCUGAGGACUCUGGUGAGACUGCCAGCGUAAGCUGUGAGGAAGGUGGGGAUGACGUCAAAUCAGCACGGCCCUUACAUCCGGGGCGACACACGUGUUACAAUGGCAUGGACAAAGGGCAGCUACCUGGCGACAGGAUGCUAAUCUCUAAACCAUGUCUCAGUUCGGAUCGGAGUCUGCAACUCGACUCCGUGAAGCUGGAUUCGCUAGUAAUCGCGCAUCAGCCAUGGCGCGGUGAAUACGUUCCCGGGCCUUGUACACACCGCCCGUCAAGCCAUGGGAGCCGGGGGUACCUGAAGUCCGUAACCGCAAGGAUCGGCCUAGGGUAA